GACGAACGCUGGCGGCGUGCUUAACACAUGCAAGUCGAACGGAAAGGCCCUGCUUUUGUGGGGUGCUCGAGUGGCGAACGGGUGAGUAACACGUGAGUAACCUGCCCUUGACUUUGGGAUAACUUCAGGAAACUGGGGCUAAUACCGGAUAGGAGCUCCUGCUGCAUGGUGGGGGUUGGAAAGUUUCGGCGGUUGGGGAUGGACUCGCGGCUUAUCAGCUUGUUGGUGGGGUAGUGGCUUACCAAGGCUUUGACGGGUAGCCGGCCUGAGAGGGUUACCGGCCACAUUGGGACUGAGAUACGGCACAGACUCCUACGGGAGGCAGCAGUGGGGAAUAUUGCACAAUGGGAGGAAGCCUGAUGCAGCAACGCCGCGUGCGGGAUGACGGCCUUCGGGUUGUAAACCGCUUUCGCCUGUGACGAAGCGUGAGUGACGGUAAUGGGUAAAGAAGCACCGGCUAACUACGUG
RNAcentral lists this ribosomal RNA (468 nucleotides) under uncultured bacterium. Its description in RNAcentral is "partial 16S ribosomal RNA". It matches the Rfam family "Bacterial small subunit ribosomal RNA", at positions 28 to 507 of the family's 1533-position model. The record is from RNAcentral.